GCGCUGCUGGGGAGUCCCAGAACAGGACGGAACGGCCGUCCAGUGC
Schistosoma haematobium is the source of this 46-nucleotide non-coding RNA. The record is from Rfam. NCBI's taxonomy places the organism in Eukaryota, Metazoa, Platyhelminthes, Trematoda, Strigeidida, Schistosomatidae.